RNAcentral lists this ribosomal RNA (195 nucleotides) under uncultured soil bacterium. Its description in RNAcentral is "partial 16S ribosomal RNA". It matches the Rfam family "Bacterial small subunit ribosomal RNA", at positions 27 to 222 of the family's 1533-position model. The record is from RNAcentral.
GAUUGAACGCUGGCGGCAUGCUUUACACAUGCAAGUCGAACGGUAACGCGGGGGCAACCCUGGCGACGAGUGGCGAACGGGUGAGUAAUACAUCGGAACCGUGCCCAGUAGUGGGGGAUAGCUCGGCGAAAGCCGGAUUAAUACCGCAUACGACCUACGGGUGAAAGGCGGGGGAUCGCAAGACCUCGCGCUAUU